Molecule: ribosomal RNA, 497 nt
Filed under: uncultured bacterium
Lineage: Bacteria
Description: partial 16S ribosomal RNA
Rfam family: Bacterial small subunit ribosomal RNA
Source: RNAcentral
GAUGAACGCUGGCGGCGUGCCUAAUACAUGCAAGUCGAGCGAACGGACGAGAAGCUUGCUUCUCUGAUGUUAGCGGCGGACGGGUGAGUAACACGUGGAUAACCUACCUAUAAGACUGGGAUAACUUCGGGAAACCGGAGCUAAUACCGGAUAAUAUUAUGAACCGCAUGGUUCAAAAGUGAAAGACGGUCUUGCUGUCACUUAUAGAUGGAUCCGCGCUGCAUUAGCUAGUUGGUAAGGUAACGGCUUACCAAGGCAACGAUGCAUAGCCGACCUGAGAGGGUGAUCGGCCACACUGGAACUGAGACACGGUCCAGACUCCUACGGGAGGCAGCAGUAGGGAAUCUUCCGCAAUGGGCGAGAGCCUGACGGAGCAACGCCGCGUGAGUGAUGAAGGUCUUCGGAUCGUAAAACUCUGUUAUUAGGGAAGAACAUAUGUGUAAGUAACUGUGCACAUCUUGACGGUACCUAAUCAGAAAGCCACGGCUAACUACGUG